AUGGCCGCGGAGACAAUGCCACCCCAACCCCACGCCGUGUGCCUGCCGUACCCGGCGCAGGGCCACAUCGCCCCCAUGCUCAACGUCGCCAAGCUGCUUCACGCUCGCGGCUUCCACGUUACCUUCGUCAACUCCGAGUACAACCACGCCCGCCUCGUCCGGACGCGUGGCGCAGCCGCCAUGGCCGGCGCCGCGGGCUUCCGCUUCGCCACCAUCCCGGACGGCAUGCAGGCGCCGUCCAGCGGCGAAGAUGACGAUGUCACGCAGGACAUCCCGUCGCUAUGCAAGUCCACCACGGAGACCUGCCUCGGGCCCUUCCGCCGCCUCCUCGCCGAGCUCAACGCGGCGAGGGACCGCCCUCCCGUCACCUGCGUCGUCUCCGACCUCAUCAUGGGCUUCUCCAUGGACGCGGCCAAGGAGCUUGGCCUCCCCUACGUCCAGCUCUGGACGGCCAGCACCAUCAGCUACCUCGGGUACCGACAUUACCGCCUCCUCAUUGACCGCGGCAUCGCCCCACUUAAAGAUAUGAAACAGUUGACGGAUGGAUACCUUGACAUGCCGGUGGAAGACGUCCCGGGCCUGAGGAGCAUGAGGCUCAGGGACUUCCCGACCUUCAUACGCAGCACGGACCCAGAUGAGUUCAUGGUGCGUUACGCCAUCAAGGAGACAGAGCGCGCAGCCGGCGCAACGGCCGUGAUCCUCAACAGCUUCGGCGAUCUAGAGGGCGAGGCGGUGGAGGCCAUGGAACCGCUUCUCGGUGACGGCAACGGCAAGCCCAAGGUGUACACGGUCGGCCCGCUGAGUCUGCUCGCGCCGCGCUCCACGAGCAGUACCAUCAGUAGCCUCAGCCUGUGGAAGGAGCAGGAGGAGUGCCUCCAGUGGCUCCAAGGCAAGGAGCCCGCCUCCGUCGUGUACGUCAACUUCGGGAGCAUCGUCGUCAUGACCAGCGAGCAGCUGGUGGAGUUCGCGUGGGGGCUAGCCAACAGCGGCCAGCACUUCGUAUGGGUCAUUCGCCCCGACCUCGUGAGGGGCGACUCCGCGGUGCUUCCCCCGGAGUUCCUGACGGAGACGGCGGGGCGCAGGCUCAUGGCCUCCUGGUGCCCGCAGCAGGAGGUGCUGAACCAUCCGGCGGUGGGCGCGUUCCUGACGCACAGUGGCUGGAACUCGACACUGGAGAGCAUGUGCGGCGGCGUGCCCGUCAUCAGUUGGCCCUUCUUCGGCGACCAACAGACCAACUGCAGGUACCAGUGCAAAGAGUGGGGCGUCGGCAUGGAGAUCGACAACAACGUCCAGCGCGAUGCCGUCACGGGCCUCAUCGCGGAGCUCAUGGACGGGGAGAAGGGCAAGCAGAUGAGGAAGAGGGCGAUGGAGUGGCAGGAGAAGGCCAUCAUGGCGGCCAAGCCCGGCGGUUCGUCCCACCGCAAUUUCGACGAGUUGGUCCGGGAUGUACUCCUGCCCAAGAACGGCGACGACGCACACGGUGUCGCGCGGGAUUAA
RNAcentral lists this ribosomal RNA (1497 nucleotides) under Triticum aestivum (bread wheat). Its description in RNAcentral is "partial small subunit ribosomal RNA". Lineage: Eukaryota; Viridiplantae; Streptophyta; Magnoliopsida; Poales; Poaceae. The record is from RNAcentral.